Molecule: long non-coding RNA, 895 nt
Filed under: Mus caroli (Ryukyu mouse)
Lineage: Eukaryota; Metazoa; Chordata; Mammalia; Rodentia; Muridae
Description: lncRNA (MGP_CAROLIEiJ_G0003251.1)
Source: RNAcentral
CCCUGCACUUUAGGACAGAGCUUUCUACCUUAAGGUCCCAACAAGUGCUAGAGUUUCAUGUUUGCUGAGCAAGUGCUCUACCGCCGAGCUGCAUCUCCAAACCCACACAGGAAGCCUUGUAAAAAAAUGAAACGAAAGAAAAUACCAGAGCACAUUCAACAUUAGAAACCAAAAUUCUCACUACCAAGCCCCAGCACAGCUGGAAGGAUUUCGAAGGAGAAGUGUUGUCUCCUGGCCCUUCCCCUGACACUCCUGAGGUUGCAGACCCGUUGACUAUAGAAAAUCACAGCAGGUUGGAGCGCUCCAUUUCCUACUCUGCAAACAGGGAGUGGCCCAACUCCUACUUCUGCAUCUCCGCACAGACCCGGGGGUGGGGGAGGGUGCAAACGACCGAAAGAGCGAGCGCAUUCCUUCUCCCUUAUGCAAAAAGACUGUUGACGACUCUACUUGCAAAAUGUCGCCUGUCCGUCUGCCUUUUCCUCAGCAAUUGCUGAGCCAGUCAUUGGAAAGCGGCAAGGCAAAACACCCAUUACCAAGAUGUAGCUACCAAAGGACUGAGAUUGGGGAUCAGAAAUUCAACACCUUUACCCCAGCCCCUGUGGACAACUUCCUCCCGUGGGACUGAGGACACAGAUGUCACCAGAAAGUUACAUAUGAGCCCCUCCAUUGCAUGGACUGUCUACCCCUCAUCCCUGCCCGAGCGCCCUCUGCUCUCAGUGAGUUCUGCUCUUUGUUUCCCCUCAUCUUUUUCCCUGUCUGAAUCCAACCCACAGGGAUUAGCUCAGUUUUCUUAUCUUCUAGGAAGCCAAUCCACAAAGGACACUCAAAAUGCAUAAAAAUCUCCUUAUGGCACUUAAAUGUUUAUGGGUAAUAAAAGGAAUCAUUCCUCUCCUUA